AAGGAAGGAGGAGAGGUAGGGCAGAAGAGAAAGGAGGUUGAGGGAGAGAAAAUAGGUGGAGUAGGAGAAAAAAAGAGGUGGAGUAUGAGAAAAAAGAGGCGGAGUAGGAGAGAAAAGAGGUGGAGUAUGAGAGAAAAGAGGUGGAGUAGGAGAGAAAAGAGGUGGAGUAGGAGAGAAAAGAGGUGGAGUAGGAGAGGAAAGGGGUGGAUUAGGAGAGAAAAGGGAAGGAUUAGGAGAGAAAAGAGGUGGAGUAUGAGAGAAAAUAGGUGGAGUAGGAGAGAAAGGAGGUGGAGUAUGAUAGAAAAGGGGUGGAUUAGGAGAGAAAAGAGGUGGAGUAGAAGAGAAAAGAGGUGGAGUAUGAGAGAAAAGAGGUGGAGUAUGAGAGAAAAGAGGUGGAGUAGGAGAGAAAAGAGGUGGAGUAUGAAAGAAAAGAGGUGGAGUAGGAGAGAAAAGAGGUGGAGUAGGAGAGAAAAGAGGUGGAGUAUGAAAGAAAAGAGGUGGAG
This is a long non-coding RNA of Oncorhynchus tshawytscha (Chinook salmon), 503 nucleotides long. Lineage: Eukaryota; Metazoa; Chordata; Actinopteri; Salmoniformes; Salmonidae. The record is from Ensembl.